UCCUGGUAAGUUUACAUGGUAGAGCACUCCAGCGAAAAUGGAGAGGUUUCUCGUUCGAUACCUGAACCAGGCG
This 73-nucleotide transfer RNA is filed under the name Ixodes scapularis (black-legged tick). RNAcentral describes it as "tRNA-Phe". The record is from RNAcentral. Lineage: Eukaryota; Metazoa; Arthropoda; Arachnida; Ixodida; Ixodidae.